UCGAGCGUAGCGCAGCCCGGUUAGCGCACCGGUCUCGGGGGACCGGGGGUCGGGAGUCAAUCUCCCGGCUCCGGACCA
RNAcentral lists this transfer RNA (78 nucleotides) under Methyloceanibacter marginalis. Its description in RNAcentral is "tRNA-OTHER". Lineage: Bacteria; Pseudomonadati; Pseudomonadota; Alphaproteobacteria; Hyphomicrobiales; Hyphomicrobiaceae. The record is from RNAcentral.